Long non-coding RNA from Osmerus eperlanus (European smelt), 850 nucleotides. RefSeq lists it as uncharacterized. The record is from RefSeq and is a predicted model, not a curated record. NCBI's taxonomy places the organism in Eukaryota, Metazoa, Chordata, Actinopteri, Osmeriformes, Osmeridae. The transcript is spliced from 3 exons.
AGUUGCUCCUGGUUUACCAAAUCGCCCAAGAGCAGAUGUUGUUGUCCUAACUUCUCUGCUAAACAGAUUGCGGAGAUUUUGGGUGUCUCAAGAAGAACAGUGAACCGACGGUUACGAUAGUACAAAUUUCUCUUUUAGAGGUCGCUACACGGAUCUAACAGAUGAUGCUCUUGAUCUGAAGGUGCUGCUAUUCGGAGUAUGUCCCACAGGCUUCGGAGGAGAACAUAUCGAGUGGCAGAGUCAAUUUCGCUGUGGCAUCUUGAUGGCAACCACAAGCUCAUAAAGUGGAGGAUUGUAAUCCAUGGAGGAAUCGAUGGGUUCAGCCGACUGGUGGUUUUCCUGAAGGCUUCUAACAACAACAGAAGUGACAUUGUAAUGGACCUGUUUUCGGAAGCAGUCGCCCAGUUUGGUGUCCCAUCCAGAGUCAGAUUUGACUAGGGAAGGAAAACAACGCCAUUUGUCUCUUCAUGGAUGUCUUCCGAGGAUCAACCCGAGGGAGUGCUUUAAGAGGGAUGAGCACUCAUAAUCAACGCAUUGAAAGACUGUGGGGCGAUGUCUGGAGAGGUGUGACAAAAAAAACGCAAGGUCCUACGUAGUGUGGUCAGGUCUGCUGAGUUUAUCAUCGGCAGGCCACCACUAGCCACUUUACAUUGAUGCAUUUCUCACUCGUCACUUUACACACUGUCACUUUCAGCUACUGGUUGCACUAUCAACAAUAUUGCACUUACUGUACCCCACUUGUCUUAGGUUAGUAUAGGUCUAAGGUUAGUAUAGGUCAUUAUCUGUAUUAGAGGUCUAAUAUAUUGUAUACUAUUUUGUAUAUUUAGGAGGUUUAUAGGUGGCUCAAAAA